RNAcentral lists this small nuclear RNA (156 nucleotides) under Triticum aestivum (bread wheat). RNAcentral's name for it is "U1 spliceosomal RNA". It matches the Rfam family "U1 spliceosomal RNA". Rfam says of the family: U1 is a small nuclear RNA (snRNA) component of the spliceosome (involved in pre-mRNA splicing). RNAcentral also lists the same sequence under 1 other name. The record is from Rfam by way of RNAcentral. Lineage: Eukaryota; Viridiplantae; Streptophyta; Magnoliopsida; Poales; Poaceae.
AUACUUACCUGGACGGGGUUUAUGGGUGAUCAAAAAGGCUCAUGACCUAGAUUAAUGGCUCACAUUGCACAUAGUGAAUGUGUUGAUCUACCAUCUCCUUUGGGAGAGUGGACGUCAAAAUUUAUGUUAGAGGGGUAUGCGUUCGCGCGGCCCCUG